AGUGAACGCUGGCGGUAGGCCUAACACAUGCAAGUCGAACGGCAGCACAGUAAGAGCUUGCUCUUACGGGUGGCGAGUGGCGGACGGGUGAGGAAUACAUCGGAAUCUACUUUUUCGUGGGGGAUAACGUAGGGAAACUUACGCUAAUACCGCAUACGACCUACGGGUGAAAGCAGGGGAUCUUCGGACCUUGCGCGAUUGAAUGAGCCGAUGUCGGAUUAGCUAGUUGGCGGGGUAAAGGCCCACCAAGGCGACGAUCCGUAGCUGGUCUGAGAGGAUGAUCAGCCACACUGGAACUGAGACACGGUCCAGACUCCUACGGGAGGCAGCAGUGGGGAAUAUUGGACGAUGGGCGCAAGCCUGAUCCAGCCAUACCGCGUGGGUGAAGAAGGCCUUCGGGUUGUAAAGCCCUUUUGUUGGGAAAGAAAAGCAGCAGGUUAAUACCCCGCUGUUCUGACGUUACCCAAAGAAUAAGCACCGGCUAACUUCGUG
This 492-nucleotide ribosomal RNA is filed under the name uncultured bacterium. RNAcentral describes it as "partial 16S ribosomal RNA". It matches the Rfam family "Bacterial small subunit ribosomal RNA", at positions 29 to 507 of the family's 1533-position model. The record is from RNAcentral.